AUGCAUGCACACAGAAGAGACUCGCGCGCCGGGAGUGCCAUAUAUGGAGAGGAAGCCCCCGCGAGUCUGCCGCUGAGCGCUCGAGCCCGUGUAUGGAGCGAGACCAGCCCGACUCAGCGACCGUUACCGGCGCGUGGAUUUUAUUUAUCCAACACCCUGAGAUUUAUUUCAGGUUUGUGUGGAGGUCAUGCUGCUCAGCUGGAAGCUGGAACAACAACAUCUACACAACAGCUGAGUGACGUUCACGCUAAGUUUCUAAAACAAGAGGUUCGGGACCUCCAACCCAUCGGACAGCUGCAUUGGGAGGACUGAGCCAACAGACCGGCCGUGUUUAUCCAACUGCUAACUGAGAUCCACAAAGAUGUCGGGAUUCACCGAGCUGCAGGGGGAGGCCGACGAGACUGUGAUCAUCCAUCCAGGAGGCGAGCUGGACCUUGAAUGCACCCUGCAGCCGCUGUAUCUGUGAAAGUGGAUCAUCACGGAGGACCCCCGUCAGGGUGGCAGUCAGCCAAGGAAUCUAUUUAUAACCAACAUCUGCCC
Cottoperca gobio is the source of this 540-nucleotide long non-coding RNA. RefSeq lists it as uncharacterized. The record is from RefSeq and is a predicted model, not a curated record. The transcript has 3 exons. NCBI's taxonomy places the organism in Eukaryota, Metazoa, Chordata, Actinopteri, Perciformes, Bovichtidae.